UUAAAUUGAAGAGUUUGAUCAUGGCUCAGAUUGAACGCUGGCGGCAGGCCUAACACAUGCAAGUCGAACGGUAACAGAAAGCAGCUUGCUGCUUUGCUGACGAGUGGCGGACGGGUGAGUAAUGUCUGGGAAACUGCCUGAUGGAGGGGGAUAACUACUGGAAACGGUAGCUAAUACCGCAUAACGUCGCAAGACCAAAGAGGGGGACCUUCGGGCCUCUUGCCAUCGGAUGAUGUGCCCAGAUGGGAUUAGCUAGU
This 257-nucleotide ribosomal RNA is filed under the name Escherichia coli O69:H11 str. 06-3325. Its description in RNAcentral is "partial 16S ribosomal RNA". It matches the Rfam family "Bacterial small subunit ribosomal RNA", at positions 1 to 249 of the family's 1533-position model. Lineage: Bacteria; Pseudomonadati; Pseudomonadota; Gammaproteobacteria; Enterobacterales; Enterobacteriaceae. The record is from RNAcentral.